Molecule: ribosomal RNA, 465 nt
Filed under: uncultured bacterium
Lineage: Bacteria
Description: partial 16S ribosomal RNA
Rfam family: Bacterial small subunit ribosomal RNA
Source: RNAcentral
GACGAACGCUGGCGGCGUGCUUAACACAUGCAAGUCGAACGGAAAGGCCCCUUCGGGGGUACUCGAGUGGCGAACAGGCGAGUAACACGUGAGUAACCUGCCCUUGACUUCGGGAUAACUUCAUGAAACUGGGGCGAAUACCGGAUAGGAAUCCUUGCUGCAUGGUGGGGGUUGGAAAGCUUCGGCGGUUUUGGAUGGACUCGCGGCUUAUCAGCUUGUUGGUGGGGUAGUGGCUUACCAAGGCUUUGACGGGUAGCCGGCCUGAGAGGGCGACCGGCCACAUUGGGACUGGGAUCCGGCCCAGACUCCUACGGGAGGCAGCAGUGGGGAAUAUUGCACAAUGGGCGGAAGCCUGAUGCAGCAACGCCGCGUGCGGGAUGACGGCCUUCGGGUUGGAAACCGCUUUCAGCAGGGGCGAAGCUUGUGGUGACGGUACCUGCAGAAGAAGCACCGGCUAACUACGUG